CCCGCACAAGCGGUGGAGCAUGUGGUUUAAUUCGAAGCAACGCGAAGAACCUUACCAGGCCUUGACAUGCAGAGAACUUUCCAGAGAUGGAUUGGUGCCUUCGGGAACUCUGACACAGGUGCUGCAUGGUUGUCGUCAGCUCGUGCCGUGAGGUGUCGGGUUAAGUCCCAUAACGAGCGCAACCCCUACCUUUAGUUGCCAUCAGGUAAUGCUGGGGACUCUAAAGGAACUGCCUACGCAAGUAGUGAGGAAGGCGGGGAUGACGUCAAAUCAGCACGGCCCUUACGUCCAGGGCUACACACGUGCUACAAUGGCCGAUACAGAGGGCAGCUACCUGGUGACAGGAUGCAAAUCUCCAAAGUCGGUCUCAGUUCGGAUCGGAGUCUGCAACCCGACUCCGUGAAGUUGGAUUCGCUAGUAAUCGCGCAUCAGCCAUGGCGCGGUGAAUACGUUCCCGGGCCUU
This 463-nucleotide ribosomal RNA is filed under the name uncultured Sphingobacteriales bacterium. Its description in RNAcentral is "bacterial SSU rRNA". It matches the Rfam family "Bacterial small subunit ribosomal RNA", at positions 920 to 1382 of the family's 1533-position model. Lineage: Bacteria; Pseudomonadati; Bacteroidota; Sphingobacteriia; Sphingobacteriales. The record is from RNAcentral.